This 245-nucleotide unclassified non-coding RNA is filed under the name fungal sp. RNAcentral describes it as "partial contains small subunit ribosomal RNA, internal transcribed spacer 1, and 5.8S ribosomal RNA". The stretch from base 1 to 46 matches the Rfam family "Eukaryotic small subunit ribosomal RNA", at positions 1786 to 1831 of the family's 1831-position model. Lineage: Eukaryota; Fungi. The record is from RNAcentral.
AAGUCGUAACAAGGUUUCCGUAGGUGAACCUGCGGAAGGAUCAUUACAGAGUAGCGGUGCCCUCGGGCGCCUACUCCCACCCUUUGUGAACUUAAAACCAGUUGCUUUGGCGGGCCGGGUGCCUAGGCGCCGCCGGCCUUGGCUGGAGAGCGCCCGCCAGAGGAUCGUUUUAACCCUGCUCACGGUGACAUCUGAGUACAUGAAAAAUUGAAUCAAAACUUUCAACAACGGAUCUCUUGGUUCUG